Callithrix jacchus (white-tufted-ear marmoset) is the source of this 2936-nucleotide non-coding RNA. The record is from RefSeq and is a predicted model, not a curated record. NCBI's taxonomy places the organism in Eukaryota, Metazoa, Chordata, Mammalia, Primates, Cebidae.
UUUACAAGUCAUGGACAGACUUUAUGUUGUCUUCAUUUCCUUAUCAUUGGGAGUAUUCCGAGCUCAGAAUUUUCCCAGUGCAAAAAAAAGGCUCUGAAGAGCCGGACCUGGGAACCUGGCCAGUUCCCUGAUCCAAUUUUUGGUAAACACCUCAAGGAUGUUAGUUACAUGAUAAAGACAUGGACAGUGUCCUGACUUGACCCUUCUUUGUUUUAAAAAGUAUAAAAGAUUGUUUAGCAGAAGCCGAACUGAGCUUCGAUGGUGAUUUGGUUUGGACUUGCGAAAACCCGUGCUGCUUUACUGCCGGUGUUGAAGUUUGUGAGCGUCUCUAGACGCUCACGUGCCUACUGACUCUAUUGAAUGUAUUUACAAUAAGAAGACUGACCAAUUAACUAAAAUUAGCUCUAAUACUUACCCUGAAGAUCAUCCCAAGUGCGCAAAAUGGGUGCAUGAACACACUGGACACGCAGGAGCCAAAGCUAUGUACAGAGUGCCAUUACAAAUACAAAGUGACAACGGAUCUCAUUUUAAAAGUAAGUUAAUUACUGAUUACUGUGCUCAAUAUAAUAUAGAAUGGAUUUAUCAUAUACCCUAUUACCCACAAGCAGUAGGCCUCAUUGAAAGGAUGAAUGGGUAAUUAAAGGAAAAACUACGGAAAUUAACCAAUCCAAUGUAUUCAGGAUGGAAAACCUUUUUAUUACCAGCCUUACAACAACUUAAUAAUAGACCCCUAACUAGUGGCCAAACCCCGUUGCAACGGAUGAUAUAUUCCUCUAAUACAGUUGAGAUCAGAUCCCAAGUAACACAUGAGCCUGUAACUAUCUCCUGGUGGAGAUUCCACCCAGAUGCAAUACAACCUUGGAAUGCUACUAGUUCUGCUGCAGGUUGAUUUAUUUAACUACUCUGUAACUAAAUUAAAUAGCAAAACUCAACAUGUAAUACCCACUGGAAUAGGUUUUCAGUUGCCUUCAGGAUAUUAUGGACAAAUAGCUGCUCGAUCUAGUCUUGCACAAAAAGGAAUGACAAUCUUAGGGGGAAUAAUUGAUGCAGAUUAUUACGGUGAAAUCAAAGUGCUUCGUUAUAACCUUGGUGAAGAAGAUAUCAUCUUGCCUAAAGGCCACCGAAUGGCACAACUAUUAAUAAUUCCAGUUUUACAAAACACAGUAUGGGAAUCACAAAGGUUCCCUCCAAAAUCAGCUCAUUUAGGAUUUGGCAGUACUGAUGAAAAGAAACAAAUAUCAGGUCAUGUUUGGGUACAAACAUCUCCCCAUAAACCAUUACAAGCUGGAGAGAUAGUAGCACAAGGAAGAAAUAACUGUGUAUAUGUCCUAAUUCCCCCUGCUGAUACUCCUAUAUUAGUACCUACUAAUCAUUUGUUUCAUCGUGUAUAGAUUUGUGUAUUUACAGGUAUUAUUGUUAGCACUCACUUCUGGAUUGCUUGGACCAUUUCCCCCGGACAAAUCUUGUCUCACCAAACUACUUCCAGCAAUGGACACAUGAUUCUACAGUUGGGAUGGGUCAACUCCACAAAAGUAAGAAGUCAAGACUCUUACAACUGUUCUGCUAAUCAAGUCUGUCACCAUACCAAUCUUACUAUUAGUGGAGAUACCAACACUACACUUACCUAUUGGAUGGGACAGAAACCUGCUCAAGGCAUAAUUUAUAGUGAUGAUAGUAUUACUAUUAAUGUCACUUCUAAAGUGAAUAUUUCCUGUUGUCAACAGAUUUAACUACUAUGCUAUGUCCCUAUCACGUGCUGCCAAUUCCAUAUCCUUAUUAUUAUUUGCAACCAGAAUUUUAUGGUACCCACAUUGACAAUAGAAAUAUAACAUAUAAAAUCAAUGAUUGUGCUGUAACUACAAAAGGAUUAGUAUGUACUGAUUUACAACAACAGAUGGAGCCAUAUCUAUUGCAUUUUUCUGUUAAUCAUUGUAUUUUUACCUUAUUACCAGUAAGUGAUUACACUGCCCUUUUUGAAGUCCAGCCCCAUACAUUAUAUAUUGUAUCCAAUCAAUCUGAAGUAUUGUCAUAUAUGCAAGUUGAUUUUCCAUUUGUUGGAUGUAUUUAUAAUAUCUCUAUUUUUCUCUGGCAUAAUUCUACUAUUUAUUUAACCCCAAUCAUUGACUAUGAAAAUAUCACUUUCACCCCAAUAAGCCUGCCCCAACCAAAGUUGGAAACCUAUUUAAAUCUAACUACUAUAUUAUAUAAAAAUAAAGCUUUAAAUCAGACAUUACAGAAAAGAGAUUGACAAUUAAGUGAAUAUAGACUACAAACCACCAUAGUAAGUCAUAAACUGCAGGACUAUUCCCAUGCUAUAGCGACAGAUAGUAAUCAUAACUGGUGGGAUUGGUUAUUCACACACUCAUCAGUGACAUAUAGAUUCAUCCCACUAUUCAUGAUUGUAUUCAUUUUAAUAGUUAUUAGUAUAUGUAGUUGUUGCUGUUCUUUGUACUUAUAUCAACGCAUUAAGAAUUUAUAUGAUGCAUUUACUUACAACUAUUAUGUGUAUAAUAAGUCUGCCCAUGCCUAGGGCCGAAUUGUAAUGGAACAGAAGGAGUUAAUUAAGUUUACAAGUCAUGGACAGACUUUAUGUUGUCUUCAUUUCCUUAUCAUUGGGAGUAUUCCGAGCUCAGAAUUUUCCCAAUGCAAAAAAAAAAAAGGCUCUGAAGAGCCGGACCUGGGAACCUGGCCAGUUCCCUGAUCCAAUUUUUGGUAAACACCUCAAGGAUGUUAGUUACAUGAUGAAGACGUGGACAGUGUCCUGACUUGACCCUUCUUUGUUUUAAAAAGUAUAAAAGAUUGUUUAGCAGAAGCCGAACUGAGCUUCGAUGGUGAUUUGGUUUGGACUUGCGAAAACCCGUGAUGCUUUACUGCCGGUGUUGAAGUUUGUGAGCGUCUCUAGGUAUCCUUGUAAAUAAACUCUUUUUCUCUAUAUA